AGAGAUAGCUGGUUCUCCCCGAAAUAUCUUUAGGGAUAGCGUCAACAAAAUAGGUUUAUCGAAGGUAGAGCACUGAAUGUGUGAUGGCCCCACCUCGGGGUACUGAUCUCAAUCAAACUCCGAAUGUCGGUAAAGUAAGUUGGCAGUCAGACUACGGGUGAUAAGGUUCGUGGUCAAAAGGGAAAGAGCCCAGACCGCCAGAUAAGGUCCCAAAAUAUAUGCUAAGUGGAAAAGGAAGUAGAGAUGCACAAACAGCCAGGAGGUUGGCUUAGAAGCAGCCAUCCUUUAAAGAGUGCGUAAAAGCUCACUGGUCGAGUGACUCUGCGCCGAAAAUGUACCGGGGCUAAGCAUAUUACCGAAGCUGCGGAUUUAAAAAGAUUUUUUAAGUGGUAGGGGAGCGUUCCUAACAGCGGUGAAGCUAGAUCGUGAGGACUAGUGGAGCGUUAGGAAGUGAGAAUGCCGGUGUAAGUAACGAAAAGACAGGUGAGAAUCCUGUCCGUCAUAAACCCAAGGUUUCCAGG
Molecule: ribosomal RNA, 521 nt
Filed under: Acholeplasma laidlawii
Lineage: Bacteria; Bacillati; Mycoplasmatota; Mollicutes; Acholeplasmatales; Acholeplasmataceae
Description: partial 23S ribosomal RNA
Rfam family: Bacterial large subunit ribosomal RNA
Source: RNAcentral